Non-coding RNA from Mus caroli (Ryukyu mouse), 1651 nucleotides. The record is from RefSeq and is a predicted model, not a curated record. NCBI's taxonomy places the organism in Eukaryota, Metazoa, Chordata, Mammalia, Rodentia, Muridae.
UAGCAUGGCUGCCCUUCAAGAGGCCCAACAAGCAGCUGACUGAGACAGACACAGAUACUUACACUCAACAAAAUAUACUGAAGUCGGAGACCACUGUGGUUGAAUGAGGGAGAGGCUAGAAGAAGCUGAGGAGAAGGGUGACCCCAAAGGAAGACCAGCAGUCUCACUUAACCUGGACCCCCAAGAUCUCUCAGACACUGACCCACCAACUGGCAGCAUACAAGAACUGGUUCAAGGACUCUGAUACAUAUUCAGCAGAGGACUUCCUGGUCUGGCCUAAGUGAGAGAAUACUUGCCUAACCCUAGAGAGACUUGAGGCCCCAGUAUAUGUCUUCGAAUACAUGUCUGUUGCCUUCAGUGGCCAGAAGAUGGUGUAAGAUCCCCUGGAACUGGAAUUACAGACAUUUUGAAAUCACUUCAGUUCAACAUGGAAUUAACCCCCCACCCAGAAAUCCAUCAUAGGAGCCUGAAGGGGACCUGACUAUCCGAGUCUUCAGGAAGACAUCCUUCAUGGAUCUCGAUAUGGAUUUCUGAACAGAAAAAAAGGUCAUUGGUAGAUUAGUUAAAAUUUCAGAUUCACAGGGCUUGAUGGGAAAGGUUUGAUGAAGGCUUCUUAUUCAGGACAAGUACUCCAAUGUCUUUCACUGUUGUACAUUAUCCAGUUGUGGCUCUCUGGGCUAGUUCCUAUCUACUAUAAGAAGAAACUUCUCUGAUGAGAUAUCAUGCAGCGUACCUUCUAACUCCAUGAACAUUACAUGUGAAGCUUCUGGCUUGGCGUUGGCUCAAUUUCUCCAUGUUUGGUGACAUAAAGUCUCACCGUGCUGCUCAAGCUGAUAUUAGAUUCUGAGAAGGUGCUCCGUGCUGGUCUUCUGAGGAGACUUUAUUAAAGGGAUCCCAUGUGUAGCUGGUAUUUCUGAUAUGGAGAUCCAUUGUACUUCUUAGUGAGGUUGCAAACUCAAGCACUAAUGCCAUGCUUCUUGUCAGCAUCCUGAGAAGAUCACACUGGAGACUGCUACCUGGAGCUAUGAUAUAAACUACAAAUAUAUUCCUGAUGAGGAGUAGGACUUGUGUUCACAUCCUUAAUCAAUGCUGCAAUUAAAUGGAGGGACAAAAAUGGAGCAGAGACAGAAGAAAAGACCAUCUGGGGACUACACCACCUAGGUGACCCAUGGCAAGGGGAGAACAUUGAGGACUACUUGAGCAGCUGAAAACAGACACUCAAAUAUACACAAUACUGGAAGACCAUUUUUUUUUCUUAAAAUCUUAGCUCAUGGAGGGAAUCUCACUUGACUAGUAUGGCACAGUUAAGAUGACAGAGCAUACCUAGAAAGUAUAUUUACAUACUGGGAUACCAAAGCCUUACUGCCCACUGCAUUUUUAGAUACUUCCCUUUCAAUGUGAGUCUAGCAGAGGCAAACAGUCUAUAGGUGUACAUACUGUAAUUAAGAAUUAUACAGAGAGUAUUUAUGCAUAAGCAGUGUGGAUAGAGGUGCUCAAUUAUGCAACUCAUGUGUAUCUUUGAUUUUUUCUAAAGGAGCUGUUCACUAGAGAGUAGCUGUAAGGAAUAGAAAAUUUGAUGAACCACAUUGAGGAAGGCCGAGGAAGCAGAGAUGACAUCAACUGGGAGUAUGGUGUAAUCAUUUUCAAUAUA